CACAGAGAAGCUUGCUUCUUGGGUGGCGAGUGGCGAACGGGUGAGUAACAUAUCGGAACGUACCGGGCAGUGGGGGAUAACUAAUCGAAAGAUUAGCUAAUACCGCAUAUCUUCUGAGGAAGAAAGCAGGGGACCAUUUGGCCUUGCGCUGUUUGAGCGGCCGAUAUCUGAUUAGCUAGUUGGUGGGGUAAAGGCCUACCAAGGCGACGAUCAGUAGCGGGUCUGAGAGGAUGAUCCGCCGCACUGGGACUGAGACACGGCCCAGACUCCUACGGGAGGCAGCAGUGGGGAAUUUUGGACAAUGGGCGCAAGCCUGAUCCAGCCAUGCCGCGUGUCUGAAGAAGGCCUUCGGGUUGUAAAGGACUUUUGUCAGGGAAGAAAAGGGCGGGGUUAAUACCCCUGUCUGAUGACGGUA
This 415-nucleotide ribosomal RNA is filed under the name uncultured bacterium. RNAcentral describes it as "bacterial SSU rRNA". It matches the Rfam family "Bacterial small subunit ribosomal RNA", at positions 70 to 477 of the family's 1533-position model. The record is from RNAcentral.